RNAcentral lists this ribosomal RNA (799 nucleotides) under uncultured Rhizophagus. RNAcentral describes it as "LSU rRNA". It matches the Rfam family "Eukaryotic large subunit ribosomal RNA", at positions 47 to 694 of the family's 3401-position model. Lineage: Eukaryota; Fungi; Glomeromycota; Glomeromycetes; Glomerales; Glomeraceae. The record is from RNAcentral.
UAAGCGGAGGAAAAGAAACUAACAAUGAUUCCCCCAGUAACUGCGAGUGAAGAGGGACAAGCUCAAAUUUUAAAUCUGUUGGGUUUACCUAACCGAGUUGUAAUUUGAAGAGGCGUUAUCUGUGUUUUUGAUCAGCCCAAGUCCUUUGGGAUAAGGCAUCAUGGAGGGUGAGAAUCCCGUCCGGUUGAUCAGAUUCGCUUUACGAUACGUCAUCUAAGAGUCAAGUUGUUUGGGAUUGCAGCUUAAAAUGGGAGGUAAAUUUCUCCUAAGGCUAAAUAACGGCGAGAGACCGAUAGCGAACAAGUACCGUGAGGGAAAGAUGAAAAGAACUUUGAAAAGAGAGUUAAACAGUACGUGAAAUUGUUGAAAGGGAAACGAUUGAAGCCAGUCAUACCGGCGGGUAAUCAGCCUUUCGGGUGCGAUUCUGUGGAGUGUGAGGAGUUAAACGCCUUCAUGCCUGCAUAUUCGUGCACCUUGGGUGUACUUGCCCGUGUGGUAAGUUAACAUCAAUUUUGGGUCAUCAUAAAAUUGACUGGUGGAAUGUAGCUUCGGUCUCGUACUGAAGUGUUAUAGCCUCCGGUAGAUGUGAUGAUCGGGAUUGAGGAUUGCAACGGAUACCCCUUUCGGGGCUACCCGGUCUGAUCUCUGAAAGUUGCUCUGGUGUCGAAAGCGUGCUUACGGUCAUCAAAGUUGACGUUCAAUAGGUUAGAACGGUUAAAUUCGUUAAGAUGUGACGUAAUGGCUUUAAACGACCGUCUUGAAACACGGACCAAGGAGUCUUAGCAGUAUAUCGAGUGUU